RNAcentral lists this non-coding RNA (28 nucleotides) under Mus musculus (house mouse). The record is from RNAcentral. Lineage: Eukaryota; Metazoa; Chordata; Mammalia; Rodentia; Muridae.
UUUGGUUGUCCCCUGAGAUCCAGGAGGA